RNAcentral lists this long non-coding RNA (352 nucleotides) under Cinara cedri. The record is from RNAcentral. Lineage: Eukaryota; Metazoa; Arthropoda; Insecta; Hemiptera; Aphididae.
ACAUGAAUUGGCCACCAAGAUCGUGUGAUUUGACCCCAUUAGACUUUUUCUUGUGGGGUUUCCUGAAGUCGCAGGUCUAUGCCGAUAAGCCGAAAUCGACAGAUGACCUUAAAGUGAACAUAACCCAGGCCAUCGCUCAAAUUCAACCGGAUCUAUGCGGCAGAGUCAUUGAAAAUUGGACCACUCGGAUUCGUGCCACUGUGAGAAGCCGUGGCGGACAUUUAAACGAUAUUAUAUUUAAAACAUAAUUGGCAUACUUAGAACUUUAAAAUAAAAAAAAAAUUUCACUAAUACCUCGCACAUAGCUUGUUUUAUUUCAUUUCAACAUCGACCCGCUCUUAUUGAAAAACCC